GCCUUUUUCUUUGUACCAGCAUGUUAUGUGUCUCUAGCUGUCUGUAAUGUGUUUAAAGUCAUUACCCCACUUCAUCAUGAAGACAACAUUAGGUUACAUUCUGCAUUUGUACCCAAGGAGUUGGCCCACCUGGGGAUGGCUUUUUAAACAAACCCUCCCUGCUCCAGGUAUUUCCCUCCCUUUUCCCCUCCUUCACCCUUCCCGUGAGAGUCAACACUUCCAGCCCUAUGGUAGAGUGAAAUAGCCAAUUUUAGAGCCUUACCAUGAGUCUCCUGCUAGACAGGAUAAAGGAAAUGACGAGACCAGCCUGCUCAUGCAUUUAGCCAGUGCAUACAAAGUGGCUCCUAGAAGCAGAGGGGCAGCUGAUAAGCACCUGCUGUAUUUAACUGCAUCUUUAAUGUUCACAGGUCAAGCCGAAAGGGACGGCAGAGAAGUAUGGUAUGGCCAGGUGAUGGCUUGGUACCAGACACAGCAGAACCCCAUGUGGCCCCAAGCCCCACUCUCCCUAGCACCGAAGAUGUCAUCAGGAAAACUGAACAGAUCACCAAAAACAUACAGGAGCUCUUAAGAGCAGCCCAAGAAAAUAAACAUGACAGUUAUAUUCCCUGCUCAGAGAGGAUACAUGUAGCUGUUACAGAAAUGGCAGCAUUAUUCCCCAAAAAACCCAAGUCUGAUAUGGUGAGGACUUCUCUUCGUUUACUGACGUCCAGUGCCUACCGACUGCAGUCAGAGUGCAAGAAGACCCUCCCAGGGGACCCCGGCUCACCCACAGACGUCCAGCUGGUCACGCAGCAGGUCAUCCAGUGUGCGUAC
This 813-nucleotide small RNA is filed under the name Pongo abelii (Sumatran orangutan). Its description in RNAcentral is "retained intron". The record is from RNAcentral. Lineage: Eukaryota; Metazoa; Chordata; Mammalia; Primates; Hominidae.